UGCCACACCAUCUCAAUAUAGCUCCACACUUAACAGCCGUUAGCCCCGUUGCGUUAACCCUCCAUGCAAAUUCAAAUUUUAAUUUGAAAAUUGGGUGGGUUGGUGAAGGUAAAACUAAAAACUGAAGAAGCUUUUCAUUUUCCUCAAUCUUUUAUCUCUUUCUGUUCAUCAUCACCACUAUUGCAACGUUGGCAACAUUUCUGCACUUGCAAGGGGUUGUGGGUUCAUGUUAGUGUGGUGCUGACAGACUCAUUCAGAGUAAAUCUAUUCUCCAUGCCUAUUAGUGGUUUAUGUUGUGUGCAAGUUGUAAUUAUGAGUGGAUAAUACGAAAAUUUUAGUUUGGAAGCAAAAGAGGCAUACGGGAAGCUCUGUAGUUAGGUGGAAGACUUUUAUAAAGGAGGAAUUUAAUUUCUA
Quercus robur (English oak) is the source of this 414-nucleotide long non-coding RNA. RefSeq lists it as uncharacterized. The record is from RefSeq and is a predicted model, not a curated record. The transcript has 2 exons. NCBI's taxonomy places the organism in Eukaryota, Viridiplantae, Streptophyta, Magnoliopsida, Fagales, Fagaceae.